UACGUAGGGGGCAAGCGUUGUCCGGAAUCAUUGGGCGUAAAGAGCGUGUAGGCGGUUCGGUAAGUCGGCUGUGAAAGUCCAGGGCUCAACCCUGGGAUGCCGGUCGAUACUGCCGGACUAGAGUUCGGAAGAGGCGAGUGGAAUUCCUGGUGUAGCGGUGAAAUGCGCAGAUAUCAGGAGGAACACCGGUGGCGAAGGCGGAUCUCUGGGCCUUACCUGACGCUCAGGUGCGAAAGCUAGGGGAGCGAACAGG
This 253-nucleotide ribosomal RNA is filed under the name uncultured bacterium. RNAcentral's name for it is "partial 16S ribosomal RNA". It matches the Rfam family "Bacterial small subunit ribosomal RNA", at positions 524 to 776 of the family's 1533-position model. The record is from RNAcentral.